UACAGAGGUCUCAAGCGUUGUUCGGAUUCAUUGGGCGUAAAGGGUGCGUAGGUGGCAGGGUAAGUCGGAUGUGAAAUCCCGGGGCUCAACCUCGGAACUGCAUUCGAUACUGCUUUGCUUGAGUACUGGAGAGGAGAUUGGAAUUUACGGUGUAGCAGUGAAAUGCGUAGAUAUCGUAAGGAAGACCAGUGGCGAAGGCGGAUCUCUGGACAGUUACUGACACUGAGGCACGAAGGCCAGGGGAGCAAACGGG
RNAcentral lists this ribosomal RNA (253 nucleotides) under uncultured bacterium. RNAcentral's name for it is "partial 16S ribosomal RNA". It matches the Rfam family "Bacterial small subunit ribosomal RNA", at positions 524 to 776 of the family's 1533-position model. The record is from RNAcentral.